RNAcentral lists this transfer RNA (72 nucleotides) under Flavobacteriales bacterium. Its description in RNAcentral is "tRNA-Asp". It matches the Rfam family "tRNA". From Rfam's summary of the family: Transfer RNA (tRNA) molecules are approximately 80 nucleotides in length. Their secondary structure includes four short double-helical elements and three loops (D, anti-codon, and T loops). Further hydrogen bonds mediate the characteristic L-shaped molecular structure. tRNAs have two regions of fundamental functional importance: the anti-codon, which is responsible for specific mRNA codon recognition, and the 3' end, to which the tRNAs corresponding amino acid is attached (by aminoacyl-tRNA synthetases). tRNAs cope with the degeneracy of the genetic code in two manners: having more than one tRNA (with a specific anti-codon) for a particular amino acid; and 'wobble' base-pairing, i.e. permitting non-standard base-pairing at the 3rd anti-codon position. The record is from RNAcentral. Lineage: Bacteria; Pseudomonadati; Bacteroidota; Flavobacteriia; Flavobacteriales.
GGUGUUGUAGUUCAGUGGAAGAAUGCCCGACUGUCCAUCGGGAUGUCGCGAGUUCGAUCCUCGCCAGCACCG